RNAcentral lists this ribosomal RNA (1370 nucleotides) under uncultured bacterium. Its description in RNAcentral is "bacterial SSU rRNA". It matches the Rfam family "Bacterial small subunit ribosomal RNA". The record is from RNAcentral.
AGAGUUUGAUCCUGGCUCAGGACGAACGCUGGCGGCGCGCCUAACACAUGCAAGUCGAACGAGCGAGAGAGAGCUUGCUUUCUCGAGCGAGUGGCGAACGGGUGAGUAACGCGUGAGGAACCUGCCUCAAAGAGGGGGACAACAGUUGGAAACGACUGCUAAUACCGCAUAAGCCCACGGCUCGGCAUCGAGCAGAGGGAAAAGGAGCAAUCCGCUUUGAGAUGGCCUCGCGUCCGAUUAGCUAGUUGGUGAGGUAAUGGCCCACCAAGGCGACGAUCGGUAGCCGGACUGAGAGGUUGAACGGCCACAUUGGGACUGAGACACGGCCCAGACUCCUACGGGAGGCAGCAGUGGGGAAUAUUGCACAAUGGGGGAAACCCUGAUGCAGCGACGCCGCGUGGAGGAAGAAGGUCUUCGGAUUGUAAACUCCUGUUGUUGGGGAAGAUAAUGACGGUACCCAACAAGGAAGUGACGGCUAACUACGUGCCAGCAGCCGCGGUAAAACGUAGGUCACAAGCGUUGUCCGGAAUUACUGGGUGUAAAGGGAGCGCAGGCGGGAAGACAAGUUGGAAGUGAAAUCUAUGGGCUCAACCCAUAAACUGCUUUCAAAACUGUUUUUCUUGAGUAGUGCAGAGGUAGGCGGAAUUCCCGGUGUAGCGGUGGAAUGCGUAGAUAUCGGGAGGAACACCAGUGGCGAAGGCGGCCUACUGGGCACCAACUGACGCCGAGGCUCGAAAGUGUGGGUAGCAAACAGGAUUAGAUACCCUGGUAGUCCACACCGUAAACGAUGAUUACUAGGUGUUGGAGGAUUGACCCCUUCAGUGCCGCAGUUAACACAAUAAGUAAUCCACCUGGGGAGUACGACCGCAAGGUUGAAACUCAAAGGAAUUGACGGGGGCCCGCACAAGCAGUGGAGUAUGUGGUUUAAUUCGACGCAACGCGAAGAACCUUACCAAGUCUUGACAUCCCUUGACGAUGCUGGAAACAGUAUUUCUCUUCGGAGCAAGGAGACAGGUGGUGCAUGGUUGUCGUCAGCUCGUGUCGUGAGAUGUUGGGUUAAGUCCCGCAACGAGCGUAACCCUUAUGGUCAGUUACUACGCAAGAGGACUCUGGCCAGACUGCCGUUGACAAAACGGAGGAAGGUGGGGAUGACGUCAAAUCAUCAUGCCCUUUAUGACUUGGGCUACACACGUACUACAAUGGCGUUAAACAAAGAGAAGCAAGACCGCGAGGUGGAGCAAAACUCAGAAACAACGUCCCAGUUCGGACUGCAGGCUGCAACUCGCCUGCACGAAGUCGGAAUUGCUAGUAAUCGUGGAUCAGCAUGCCACGGUGAAUACGUUCCCGGGCCUUGUACACACAGCCCGUCA